This is a non-coding RNA of Durio zibethinus, 1225 nucleotides long. NCBI's taxonomy places the organism in Eukaryota, Viridiplantae, Streptophyta, Magnoliopsida, Malvales, Malvaceae. The record is from RefSeq and is a predicted model, not a curated record.
ACUCUCUCACCUCUCUCUAAUUUUCUUGCUUCGUCGUUCGAUUUGACUGGAAUUUUAAUAUAUUGCUUCUCUCCCCGUGCUCUUCCUCCUCAUGGUUUCAGAUCUCCCAAAAAGUCACUGAUUGCCGUUCACCACCGUUGCUCUGUCAUUGUCACCAUGAAUGCCACUGUCGGUGCCAAUCUUACCUCCUCUUCAAUCAGUUUUCUCAAAGAAUUCCUAGAUCUUCUUAAGUCUAAACCCAGAGUCACAGAUUCAAACAAAACUGCCAGUCUCCUCUGCUAUUCUAACACCCAAAAUCACUCAAAAAUGUUUCUCCUUCUUUACUACCUAGAGGAAACCCAAAAAGCUACUAGGGUCAACAACACCCGAAAGCCUCAAAUAUCACUACCCAACCGCACCCUUUAUUUUUGCUUUGAUUCUUGUUUGCCGGAUCAUUGUUGCUGGUUUUGAUGGUGGUAUUGGCACCAGUAAGGUGUUGGGUUCUAGUAGCUAGCUGGCAAUCAAUGGGAUGAAUGAUGACGAGAAGCUGAAGGAAGCUGUUAAUUCAAAGGAAGUUGAGGAAUUCAUGAAGAUGCCACCUGGUGCAGCGAAAUAACAGAUAGGCUGAGUUGGCAUAUCAGCUGACUAAAGUUAGUUAUAUGAGAGAUAAUAGCUGUUUGAUAAGGCAGUUGUCUCAUUUGAAUUAGUAUUUCCAAAUUACGAGAAUAUAAUAGCCAUUUUGAUCAUGAAAUGAAAAAUAAAAGAUGAUCAAGGUGCUGCUCCCACAGAAACCCCUACUCCAGCCUCUGAUUCGUUAAUAGAUUAUAACCAAGACACUUAUGUACAAGAAAACCAAGCUCAUCUGUUGCAUACCGUCCCCAGAAUAUGAGAUGAGUAGGAUAUUUCUCAUUUUUAUCUCCGAUUUUUUUGUUCAUUAUACCAAUUUCCCAUGCCUAUCGAAUGUAAGAGAUACGAAAAAUCCCCAUCCCUGUAACUCAAAUUACACAUUUCGAUCCUCGUACCUCAUAAAAUUUUAAAACUAUAUCCAAUACUCAUCCUAAAAUUUAAUACACAUCUAUAUUCUCAUUCCCAAUUUGAAUAAAAAAUCAGAUUACCGAUCAGAUUUGGGUAAUUGACAUCCCUACCCCAGAGUGAUCCAAGGUAGGCUGUUCCAAAGCCAGAGAUUUCUGAUCUUCUGGUAAGACUUGUCUUGAGCUAAUACACUAGGUAAGAAUAGGUUCAUUAU